RNAcentral lists this long non-coding RNA (1287 nucleotides) under Gallus gallus (chicken). RNAcentral describes it as "lncRNA (ENSGALG00010003440.1)". Lineage: Eukaryota; Metazoa; Chordata; Aves; Galliformes; Phasianidae. The record is from RNAcentral.
CCUACUCCUGGCCCUCCUGGCAAGGCAGGUGCAAAGUGCCAGAGCUCGACACAGAGGUACGUCCUGACUCAGCAGUGCAGUAGAAACGGCUCCUGGAAAGGCAGCAAUGUCAGUGAUGUGCACAGAGUUUGCUGGGGGAGGGGAGCAUGUGCUGUGUCACUCCACUGACAUCCAGCAACAAGCAACAGAGAGAGCCCAGAGGUGGGGGGAGUUCAUAAUGGAGUGAGGGGAGAAAUGGCAGAAUGAGGCUGGGGAAGCACAGCAGGACCUCGUCCCUCUUUGCCCAUCCCCUGGCCAGCCCUGUCUCUGUCUCCAGACUCCAGGAGAUCUGGGGAGCCCUUCUCUGAAGCUGUGUACGAGGAGAUUGAGUACAGCCCAAUGAGGGAGAAGAAAAUGAGAUUCAGUUUCUCAGACAUCCCUGUUCUGCCUGGUGAUUCCCCAGUGGAAGGCUAUGAUGAUGCCAGGGAGGUUUCUGACCCUGGAGAGCAUCCUGUCCCAGGGCAGGGAGACUGGCAAGUGCCUAGGGCACAGGAGGACGGAGAGGGACCCAGGGAUGCUGCCAGAGGUGAGAGGGAAAUGCAGUACUGCAGCUUGCUGGGUGCCAUCCCUGGGGCAGUAAUGAGAGCCUCACCUCAUGGCUUCUGGAACUUUCCUCGAGAGGCUUCCAUGGGGAGAAAGGGACAGGGAGAGCAGGCUGAAUGUUUCAUAGAGGAGAAGAGUGAUGGACCACCCAGGAGGAGCACCCCAUGGGGCAAACAGUUGUCUUUGCUGCUUGCAGGAGAGAAUCGGCAUUCCUGGAGAAGUGCCGGAGCCCCUGAAGUUGAUGGAGACCCCUCACCUCUGUCCCUUGGGAGCACGGGCUAUGAUGAUGCUGAUGAGAUGUCUCUGUCAUAACCCCAUUGGACACAAAGGCUGUGACACCAGAGCGCUAGGAUGCCUGAGCUCUGGGACAAGAGACUCUGUCCCUGCCAUGAAGUUGGGUGUAGACACAAAGGAGAGGUCAGUGCCACUGAGAGAGCCGUGAGUGCCAGCAGCUCUUUUCACAGGGGCAUCAGAAACAGCCAUGCAAUUCCUCCAAGUUUUAUUCCUCUGCUUUUAUGUUGUGCAUUGCUACUGGUUCCUAUUAAAACACUGUGAGAGCUUUGACCCAGAGCUUUUGCUUGCCCGCCCAUAUUUUGGGACAUCUCUCUGAGGCUGACUGGAUAAGCAGAGCACAAGGGCACAGUGUUGGGCUGGGGCACUUCUUGGGGACAGUGGGCUUGGGCUCAGGGCCAUGGUGCCUGGGAA